Molecule: transfer RNA, 75 nt
Filed under: Candidatus Kaiserbacteria bacterium RIFCSPHIGHO2_01_FULL_56_24
Lineage: Bacteria; Candidatus Kaiseribacteriota
Also listed under: 2 other names
Description: tRNA-Ala
Rfam family: tRNA
About the family: Transfer RNA (tRNA) molecules are approximately 80 nucleotides in length.
Source: RNAcentral
GGGCCAGUAGUUCAGUGGUAGAAUGCCUCAUUUGCAAUGAGGAGGUCCGGGGUUCGAUCCCCCGCUGGUCCACAA